Molecule: long non-coding RNA, 150 nt
Organism: Pipistrellus kuhlii (Kuhl's pipistrelle)
Lineage: Eukaryota; Metazoa; Chordata; Mammalia; Chiroptera; Vespertilionidae
Exons: 3
Source: RefSeq, a predicted model, not a curated record
CUAUCCUAGAAUAUUCUGCAGUUUUCCAGGUGUGUCCUUUCAGGGUUGUGGUCUCCAUUGAUUGAUUGGCCAGCACCAGGGUAGGGGUCACUAUUCAAUGCAGCUGAAUCUGAUGCCAUGGCUGGUUUUGUUGCUUAUCUGAGCCUGGAG